Rhinopithecus bieti (black snub-nosed monkey) is the source of this 109-nucleotide ribosomal RNA. Lineage: Eukaryota; Metazoa; Chordata; Mammalia; Primates; Cercopithecidae. The record is from Ensembl.
GUCUACGGCCAUACCACCCUGAACGCGCCGGAUCUCGGAAGCUAAGCAGGCUCUGACCUGGUUGGUACUUGGAUGGGAGACCGCCUGGGAAUACUGGGUGCUGUAGACU